This 250-nucleotide unclassified non-coding RNA is filed under the name Hevea brasiliensis (rubber tree). The record is from RNAcentral. Lineage: Eukaryota; Viridiplantae; Streptophyta; Magnoliopsida; Malpighiales; Euphorbiaceae.
GGCUUGCCAAAAUCUGCCUCACAACAUGGAUGGUGGACAAAUUCCAGCAUUUGGAGACUGGGAGCACGCAAAUGAGAUGCCAAUAACACAGUAUUUCGAGUGUGCAAGACAAGCGGGCUUGAUUCGAUACACUUCCUCUGGAGAAUGUGAUCAAUACAUGCGUGGUGACUUAUAUGCUACCGAUUUCAAGAAACCUUCUCGUGAACUUGGUCCUCCAAGAAAGACAAGGCUGAGAGAGAGGAAAGUCCCA